This is a non-coding RNA of Podarcis lilfordi (Lilford's wall lizard), 77 nucleotides long. The record is from the annotation of a GenBank genome assembly. NCBI's taxonomy places the organism in Eukaryota, Metazoa, Chordata, Lepidosauria, Squamata, Lacertidae.
UUGGCUUCCCAGCAAAGUGGGAGGAGGAAUGGAAGGGAAUCCCUUCCGUCCCUCAUCCUGCUUCGCUGGGAAGCCAG